GAUGAACGCUAGCGGCAGGCCUAAUACAUGCAAGUCGAGGGGCAUCACAGGUAGCAAUACUGGGUGGCGACCGGCAAACGGGUGCGGAACACGUACGUAACCUUCCUUUAAGUGGGAGAUAGCCCGAAGAAAUUCGGAUUAAUACCCCAUAAGAUUGUGGAGUGGCAUCACUCAGCAAUUAAAGAAUUUCGCUUAAAGAU
This 200-nucleotide ribosomal RNA is filed under the name uncultured bacterium. RNAcentral describes it as "partial 16S ribosomal RNA". It matches the Rfam family "Bacterial small subunit ribosomal RNA", at positions 28 to 226 of the family's 1533-position model. The record is from RNAcentral.